This 803-nucleotide long non-coding RNA is filed under the name Ornithorhynchus anatinus (platypus). RNAcentral describes it as "lncRNA (ENSOANG00000033640.2)". The record is from RNAcentral. Lineage: Eukaryota; Metazoa; Chordata; Mammalia; Monotremata; Ornithorhynchidae.
AUGUGUGGCCUGGCUUUCCCUCCAUUUGAGAACGUAUGUCUACUAACUACACAUUGCUUUCCACCCGUGGGUUCCUCCUUGGAAAAGGCCACUCUCUCCCGCCCCACCCCGUGCAGGUCAAGUACAGGCCUAGAGAUCCCAGCAGAGGUUGGCUGCAGGGUGGCUAUGAAUGCUGAUCAAUUCAUAAGCUCUCCUGGACGUUCCCAGGAAGUUCCAGAUUUGGAGUCCAUCCUCUUGGAUCUGGGGGAAUUGCAAAGGAGCAAAGAGGAAGAGGAGGGGAUGCUUCAAAGAUUUCCAGAACCGUCCACCUUGCCAAGCUUGUUCUCCCGUUUUGAGACCAGCAGCGGCGAGAGGAAGACUCCCGAGGCUGCCUGGCACAGAGACGCAGAGCAAUGGCGGCUAGGUGGAGUCGAGGACGAGUCAGUAGUUUCCCCGUACCCGGAAUCAUUCGGGGAGACUCAGGACCUGCUGGAGUAUGUCAACUGGUUUGCACAGUUCCUGGCUGAGGAAGAGGGCACAAGCACAGGACCUUCCACCUCAACUGGUCCGGCUUCUCCCUCCCCACAUCUGCAACACAGAUCACCAUCAACAAGAGCAGCACUAGAGGAGGUGGAGCGAAUCAUUCAAGAGCUCAGGGCUAAAGAUGAAUCUUGCCGGGCCGUCCCUUCCGAUGUAUUGGAAUAUGACUCUGGGAGCCCCGACACAAGAUGUGAGGCGGCCCAGGCCACAUCAGUUGGCGUGCUGAAUUUCUUAACUUCUUGAGGAGCAGCAUGGCUCAGUGGAAAGAGCCCGGGCUUUGGAGU